ACUCAAAUGAAUAGACGGGGACCCGCACAAACGGUGGAGCAUGUGGUUUAAUACGACGAUACGCGUGGAACCUUACCCAGACUUGACAUGUAUUUGAAAUCCCUAUGAAAGUAGGGCCCCCUAGCAAUAGGCAGAUACACAGGUGUUGCAUGGCUGUCGUCAGCUCGUGUCGUGAGAUGUUGGGUUAAGUCCCGCAACGAGCGCAACCCUUAUCCUUAGUUGCCACCUGCGUCUUCGGACGCAGCGCACUCUAAAGAGACUGCCGCUGAUAAAGCGGAGGAAGGUGGGGAUGACGUCAAGUCAGUACGGCCCUUACGUCUGGGGCUACACACGUGCUACAAUGGCCGAUACAAUAGGUUGCAAGACCGCGAGGUGGAGCUAAUCCCUAAAAUCGGCCUCAGUUCAGAUUGCAGGCUGCAACUCGUCUGCAUGAAGCUGGAAUCGUUAGUAAUCCCGUAUCAGACACGACGGGGUGAAUACGUUCCCGGGUCUUGUACACACCGCCCGU
This 508-nucleotide ribosomal RNA is filed under the name uncultured bacterium. RNAcentral's name for it is "partial 16S ribosomal RNA". It matches the Rfam family "Bacterial small subunit ribosomal RNA", at positions 899 to 1397 of the family's 1533-position model. The record is from RNAcentral.